RNAcentral lists this non-coding RNA (21 nucleotides) under Caenorhabditis elegans. The record is from RNAcentral. Lineage: Eukaryota; Metazoa; Nematoda; Chromadorea; Rhabditida; Rhabditidae.
UUAGGAGUGUUCGAAAUGUUG